RNAcentral lists this ribosomal RNA (1341 nucleotides) under Klebsiella pneumoniae. RNAcentral describes it as "partial 23S ribosomal RNA". It matches the Rfam family "Bacterial large subunit ribosomal RNA", at positions 1609 to 2925 of the family's 2925-position model. Lineage: Bacteria; Pseudomonadati; Pseudomonadota; Gammaproteobacteria; Enterobacterales; Enterobacteriaceae. The record is from RNAcentral.
CAGGAAAAGCCUCUAAGCAUCAGGUAACAUCAAAUCGUACCCCAAACCGACACAGGUGGUCAGGUAGAGAAUACCAAGGCGCUUGAGAGAACUCGGGUGAAGGAACUAGGCAAAAUGGUGCCGUAACUUCGGGAGAAGGCACGCUGGUGUGUAGGUGAAGUCCCUGCGGAUGGAGCUGAGACCAGUCGAAGAUACCAGCUGGCUGCAACUGUUUAUUAAAAACACAGCACUGUGCAAACACGAAAGUGGACGUAUACGGUGUGACGCCUGCCCGGUGCCGGAAGGUUAAUUGAUGGGGUUAUCCGUAAGGAGAAGCUCUUGAUCGAAGCCCCGGUAAACGGCGGCCGUAACUAUAACGGUCCUAAGGUAGCGAAAUUCCUUGUCGGGUAAGUUCCGACCUGCACGAAUGGCGUAAUGAUGGCCAGGCUGUCUCCACCCGAGACUCAGUGAAAUUGAACUCGCUGUGAAGAUGCAGUGUACCCGCGGCAAGACGGAAAGACCCCGUGAACCUUUACUAUAGCUUGACACUGAACAUUGAGCCUUGAUGUGUAGGAUAGGUGGGAGGCUUUGAAGCGUGGACGCCAGUCUGCGUGGAGCCAACCUUGAAAUACCACCCUUUAAUGUUUGAUGUUCUAACGUUGGCCCCUUACCGGGGUUGCGGACAGUGUCUGGUGGGUAGUUUGACUGGGGCGGUCUCCUCCCAAAGCGUAACGGAGGAGCACGAAGGUUAGCUAAUCCUGGUCGGACAUCAGGAGGUUAGUGCAAUGGCAUAAGCUAGCUUGACUGCGAGCGUGACGGCGCGAGCAGGUGCGAAAGCAGGUCAUAGUGAUCCGGUGGUUCUGAAUGGAAGGGCCAUCGCUCAACGGAUAAAAGGUACUCCGGGGAUAACAGGCUGAUACCGCCCAAGAGUUCAUAUCGACGGCGGUGUUUGGCACCUCGAUGUCGGCUCAUCACAUCCUGGGGCUGAAGUAGGUCCCAAGGGUAUGGCUGUUCGCCAUUUAAAGUGGUACGCGAGCUGGGUUUAGAACGUCGUGAGACAGUUCGGUCCCUAUCUGCCGUGGGCGCUGGAGAAUUGAGGGGGGCUGCUCCUAGUACGAGAGGACCGGAGUGGACGCAUCACUGGUGUUCGGGUUGUCAUGCCAAUGGCACUGCCCGGUAGCUAAAUGCGGAAGAGAUAAGUGCUGAAAGCAUCUAAGCACGAAACUUGCCCCGAGAUGAGUUCUCCCUGAGACUUUAAGUCUCCUGAAGGAACGUUGAAGACGACGACGUUGAUAGGCCGGGUGUGUAAGCGCAGCGAUGCGUUGAGCUAACCGGUACUAAUGAACCGUGAGGCUUAACCUU